Molecule: long non-coding RNA, 1474 nt
Organism: Nyctereutes procyonoides (raccoon dog)
Lineage: Eukaryota; Metazoa; Chordata; Mammalia; Carnivora; Canidae
Exons: 4
Source: RefSeq, a predicted model, not a curated record
UGCGGGGUUUGCACAGGGCACCAGGGUGUCCAGGCGGCGUCAGCUCCCCCAGGCCGCCCGGAGGGGGUGACGGGGAGGCAGGCAUCCAGCGGGCUCGCCGUGGGGGUAUCACUACUGCUCUUAAGAUUUUUUUCGGGGAUCCCUGGGGGGCGCAGCGGUUUGGCGCCUGCCUUUGGCCCAGGGCGCGAUCCUGGAGACCCGGGAUCGGAUCCCACGUCGGGCUCCCGGUGCGUGGAGCCUGCUUCUCCCUCUGCCUCUCUCUCUCUCUCUCUCUCUCUCUCUCUGUGACUAUCAUAAACAAAUAAAAAAAAUCUAAAAAAAAAAAGAUUUUUUUCAGCCAAAAGAAUAGUAAACGGUUUUCAGAGUCUGUUCACGUGAUCCCCACCACAACACGGGCUUCACGCAGGACCCCCACAUCUGACCCAGCCAACAGGGCGCCCUCCGGCCGAAAGAACAUCAAACCAACGUAUGGAAUGGGCUCUAUUUCAGAAUGAUGUGAAAACAAAAAUCAGAAAUAUUUCUACAUGGAAAGUAAAGUCCUGGGAACUCAGUACCCCAGCCUUCUACGUGGACUCUCAGAACACCGCGGCUGUGCCGGAGAAAGAUCUCCAACAUGAUCUUCACAUAUACCGUAAGGCCCUUCCAAUCCAGACACCAAAACACCAGAGAGACAGAAGAGGAACAGAGGAGGAGGAGAGAAUCCUCAAGCACAUUCCCUGCUGAGCACAAAGCCCAAGGUGGGGCUCCAUCCGAGGAUCCUGAGAUCAUGACCUGAGCCAAAACCAAGAGUCAGAGGCUUAAUCUACUGAGCCAUCCAGGCACCUCAACAAUUCCAUUUAAAUAUCAUCAAAAAAGAAUAAAAUACUGAGGAGUUAAUUUAACUUCCCUCCCUAAAAAAAGCACAAGACGUGAACACUGGAAAAUAUAAAAGUUAUAGAAAUAAAGACCUAAGCAAAUGGAAAGACAUCCUUCACCCACUGACGACUCAACAUUAAGAUGGCAGCACAGUACUCCCUAAAUUGGUGAAGAGUCAACACAGUCCCUGUCAAAAUCCCAGCUGCCUUUUUUGCAGAAAUUGACAAGCUAAUCCUAAAGUUCAUAUGCAAAUACAAGGGACCCAGAAUAGCCAAACCAAUCAUGAAAAGGAAUAAAGGUGGAGGGCUCAUACUUCCUAAUUUCAAGACCUACACAAAGCUGCAUCAAGAAAGCGUGGUACUGACAUUAGGCUAGACAUACAUGUCAGUGGGAUAGAACUGAGAAUCCAGAAAUAAAUCCUUACAUUCAAAAUCAACUGAUUUAGGGGAUCCCUGGGUGGCGCAGCGGUUUGGUGCCUGCCUUUGGCCCAGGGCGCGAUCCUGGAGACCCGGGAUCGAAUCCCAUGUCGGGCUCCCGGUGCAUGGAGCCUGCUUCUCCCUCUGCCUGUGUCUCUGCCUCUCUCUCUCUCUGUGACUAUCAUAAAUAAAUAAAAAUUAAA